RNAcentral lists this ribosomal RNA (342 nucleotides) under Triticum aestivum (bread wheat). RNAcentral describes it as "partial small subunit ribosomal RNA". Lineage: Eukaryota; Viridiplantae; Streptophyta; Magnoliopsida; Poales; Poaceae. The record is from RNAcentral.
AUGAUGGCCGAGCUCCUCGCCGGCCGGCACCCUUUCCAUGGGAGGUCGGACAUGGAUCACCUCAGCGAAAUCUUGGCCCUUCUUGGCACGGCAGACAUCAAGGAGUGGUCGGGCUACGAUGGGCGGCGGCUACCCAGUGGAUGCCAACUAGGAAGCUUUUUGCGCAACAAGUUCCCAUGUCCCACCAAGGCCAGGAUCAAAGGCCCCCCAACACUGUCGGAGGCUGGGUUCGAGGUCUUGAGCGCUCUUCUACGAUGCAACCCGGAGAAGAGGCUAACGGCGGAACAAGCUCUCAAGCAUCGAUGGUUCAAGGACACAAAGCCUAGGGCUAUAAGGAGAUGA